RNAcentral lists this ribosomal RNA (468 nucleotides) under uncultured bacterium. RNAcentral describes it as "partial 16S ribosomal RNA". It matches the Rfam family "Bacterial small subunit ribosomal RNA", at positions 28 to 507 of the family's 1533-position model. The record is from RNAcentral.
GACGAACGCUGGCGGCGUGCUUAACACAUGCAAGUCGAACGGAAAGGCCCUGCUUUUGUGGGGUGCUCGAGUGGCGAACGGGUGAGUAACACGUGAGUAACCUGCCCUUGACUUUGGGAUAACUUCAGGAAACUGGGGCUAAUACCGGAUAGGAGCUCCUGCUGCAUGGUGGGGGUUGGAAAGUUUCGGCGGUUGGGGAUGGACUCGCGGCUUAUCAGCUUGUUGGUGGGGUAGUGGCUUACCAAGGCUUUGACGGGUAGCCGGCCUGGGAGGGUGACCGGCCACGUUGGGACUGGGAUGCGGCCCAGCCUCCUACGGGAGGCAGCGGUGGGGAAUAUUGCACAAUGGGCGGAAGCCUGAUGCGGCAACGCCGCGUGCGGGAUGACGGCCUUCGGGUUGUAAACCGCUUUCGCCUGUGACGAAGCGUGAGUGACGGUAAUGGGUAAAGAAGCACCGGCUAACUACGUG